UAUAAAAACUAUGGCAAACUAUUUAGCAAGAUGAUAGCUGAGUGCCUUAAAAAGGAACCAGAGAAAAGACCAACAGCAAAACAGUUACUGAAAAAUGAAUUUUUCAAAAAGUCCAAGGACAAGGCACAUUUGGUGAAACUGCUCACAGACCAGGGACCCCCAGUCAAGCCACAGAAGGUAAGUUCUGCU
Molecule: long non-coding RNA, 189 nt
Organism: Lingula anatina
Lineage: Eukaryota; Metazoa; Brachiopoda; Lingulata; Lingulida; Lingulidae
Source: RefSeq, a predicted model, not a curated record